CACUGUUUCGGCAAGGGGGUCAUCCCGACUUACCAACCCGAUGCAAACUGCGAAUACCGGAGAAUGUUAUCACGGGAGACACACGGCGGGUGCUAACGUCCGUCGUGAAGAGGGAAACAACCCAGACCGCCAGCUAAGGUCCCAAAGUCAUGGUUAAGUGGGAAACGAUGUGGGAAGGCCCAGACAGCCAGGAUGUUGGCUUAGAAGCAGCCAUCAUUUAAAGAAAGCGUAAUAGCUCACUGGUCGAGUCGGCCUGCGCGGAAGAUGUAACGGGGCUAAACCAUGCACCGAAGCUGCGGCAGCGACGCUUAUGCGUUGUUGGGUAGGGGAGCGUUCUGUAAGCCUGCGAAGGUGUGCUGUGAGGCAUGCUGGAGGUAUCAGAAGUGCGAAUGCUGACAUAAGUAACGAUAAAGCGGGUGAAAAGCCCGCUCGCCGGAAGACCAAGGGUUCCUGUCCAACGUUAAUCGGGGCAGGGUGAGUCGACCCCUAAGGCGAGGCCGAAAGGCGUAGUCGAUGGGAAACAGGUUAAUAUUCCUGUACUUGGUGUUACUGCGAAGGGGGGACGGAGAAGGCUAUGUUGGCCGGGCGACGGUUGUCCCGGUUUAAGCGUGUAGGCUGGUUUUCCAGGCAAAUCCGGAAAAUCAAGGCUGAGGCGUGAUGACGAGGCACUACGGUGCUGAAGCAACAAAUGCCCUGCUUCCAGGAAAAGCCUCUAAGCAUCAGGUAACAUCAAAUCGUACCCCAAACCGACACAGGUGGUCAGGUAGAGAAUACCAAGGCGCUUGAGAGAACUCGGGUGAAGGAACUAGGCAAAAUGGUGCCGUAACUUCGGGAGAA
RNAcentral lists this ribosomal RNA (837 nucleotides) under Escherichia coli. RNAcentral's name for it is "partial 23S ribosomal RNA". It matches the Rfam family "Bacterial large subunit ribosomal RNA", at positions 908 to 1744 of the family's 2925-position model. Lineage: Bacteria; Pseudomonadati; Pseudomonadota; Gammaproteobacteria; Enterobacterales; Enterobacteriaceae. The record is from RNAcentral.